Hipposideros armiger (great roundleaf bat) is the source of this 1134-nucleotide RNA transcript. It is a transcript of the gene named coat protein complex I subunit zeta 2, with no coding region annotated. The transcript is spliced from 10 exons. Lineage: Eukaryota; Metazoa; Chordata; Mammalia; Chiroptera; Hipposideridae. The record is from RefSeq and is a predicted model, not a curated record.
GCGGCGCUGUCAGCAAGAGGCGGCGAGCGGAAUGCAGCGGCCGGAGGCCUGGCCACGUCCGCACCUGGGGGUGGGGGCCGCGGCCGUCCAGGCUGGGGGCCCGGAACCGCCCGCCGGAGCCGGGGAGCCCACGGGGCCGCGGUUGCAGGAACCUUCCCUCUACACCAUCAAGGCUGUUUUCAUCCUAGAUAACGAUGGACACCGCCUGCUGGCCAAGUAUUAUGAUGACACAUUCCCCUCCAUGAAGGAGCAGGUGGCUUUCGAGAAAAAUGUCUUCAAUAAGACCAACAGGACUGACAGUGAGAUUGCAUUCUUCGGGGGCAUGACCAUCGUCUACAAGAGCAGCAUUGACCUCUUCCUGUAUGUGGUGGGCUCAUCCCACGAGAAUGAGCUGAUGCUCAUGUCUGUUCUCACCUGCCUGUUUGAGUCCCUGGUCCACGUGUUAAGCUCCUCCUGGCCACGCGGAGGCUCAGGAGCGGCGUCUGCCUUCAGGAAGAAUGUGGAGAAGCGCUGGCUGCUGGAGAACAUGGACGGAGCCUUCUUGGUGCUGGACGAGAUUGUGGAUGGCGGCGUGAUUCUGGAGAGCGACCCCCAGCAAGUGAUCCAGAAAGUGAAUUUUAGGGCAGAUGACAGCAGCUUGACUGAACAGAGUGUGGCCCAGGUCUCUCUGCCCAGACUAAUCCUGCUUUUACGGAGCUUCCUGCCCUGGCACUAACUAACUAUCUCCUGCUGUGAUGGCCCAGGCCCAGAUGGGUGUGUAACAUUCCAUGUGGAGCCCCAGGUGUGGAGCACCAGGUUCUUCAGUCUGCCAAGGAACAAAUUAAAUGGUCAUUACUGAAAUGAAGGCUGUGCAUGUGAGGUUCCCUGCCCCAAGAUCAUUUCUGCAAUCCUGGCCAAAAAAAAAACUGACCCCAGGGGACAGGAGAGACACCUCUGUAUCCCAGGCACUCCCAGAACCGACUCCUGAGGUCUCUGGCCAGGGACUCUGAGAUGCAAAGGUUUGGCUUCAGCACUGAGUCACCCCUCUCACUGCCCUGGCCUGCCCCUUGGGCUGUGAGAACCAGUUGAGCUGCCUUAACUCAGACCUUAGACAUCCUGGCCCCUGAGUCCUAAUAAACCUGCUUUUGUCUCCUC